ACCUAUAGUAAUUGCAGAUUUUACAGUUGAAAUGUCAGAAACUGUACAUUAAAAAUUCUAGUUACAAAUAUGGAAAUUUUGCAUGUAAAGUUUUAAAAAAUGCUGUCCCGAGUGCAACCAAAGUGUUUGAAUUAACAUUGCUAUUUGAAUCCUUCAGUGUUUCCUGAAUUUCAUGUUCAGAGAUUAAUUCUUAGGAUUGUCUUUGCAAAUACUGUUGCGCUGCUUUAAAGAGGAGGUGGUUAUUUUAUAAUAUUAUAAUAUUUCUAUUCUAUUUUAAAAUAUUAUAGAGCAUGGCCAGAUGAUGUAUAUUAUUUUAAAGGUGUAUGUUUAUAAGGGUUAACAGUAUCAAAGCAUUAAGCUGUCAUUUUAUAAACUGUCUCUUAUUUUGGUACAGAGUCCAGUUAAAUUCACUUGAAGUUUAAACAUCAGUGUCCUCAAGAUUGCUGCAUGCAAAAGCUCUCUAAGCCAAGAUCUUACCACUUCUGAAAGAUGUUGCAUUAUAAUACCAAGAUGUAGGAAAUUAUCAUUCAUCUACUGGGCCCUCCAAGCACUGAUAUUUAUAGUUUCUCCUGGUGCUGACUUCAUGGCAGCCCUUCUUAAGUUUGUUGAUGAUCAGGAACUGCCAGCUGAUGCUCCUCACUGCCACUGGGGAAUGCAGUUAUGGUGCCAGAGGCACUGAGAACUGGGAUUGGCUCUGAAAGUGUUCUGAAGAUGUUAUUUUCCUCGGAAAUAGUUACAAAUGUCAAUUAUAUACUUGAUCCAAGUGAUGUUUAUUUUGCCUCUCCUCAGGGAGAUGUAAGUAUUUCAGAACAACAGAACUACCUAGAGCUAUUUUUAUUUUUUUUUUAAUAGAUGUAUCUUUACUGAAACUGAUGUGUCUCAGUGUUUACUCAGUCACUGUUUGCUUUGGUGGCUUAAUCUCAGCUUCUAUCAGGCCUUGUUUCAGUGACUUCUGAGAAAGGGACAUUAUGUAAACACCACCCAAUUACUGUCAUUAAAUUGACUCUGCUCUGUGUGAGUCAGCACUCGGGGGACAGCAAGUGAGAAACACAACCUAGUGAAGUUAAAGGCAUUUUAAAAUAGGCAUACGAGAAAUUAUCUAUUAUAUCUUCUGGAGGCAGAAAGGCCACAAUAAUCAGCUUAAUUUAUCACACAGGAGUUGUAUCAGUCACAGCAAAACACCUUCAGGCACUUGGCAGGCAGUGGGCUUGGUGGGGGGCCACAGCCCCUUGCACUUGGUAUCUAAUUUUAACAGAAUUUUUGUCAGCUCCCAGAUUUUUUCAGAAAUUUAUAUCUUAGUUCACACACUUUAUUCAUCACUCUAGGAAAGCCUGUAGUGGUUUUGAAGUACAGCUUGUGGCCUCUUGUGAGCUACUUGGCUGCUUCUGCAUCUUCUUUCCAGUCUAGAGGUAUUAUUUUUCCCCCACCCUUUCUCCAUACCAAAGCUGUUCUGAAUAUACAAAGACACUUGCACAGAAUCCUUUCCCAGAGGUCUUUGGCAUGACUGAAAAUGCUGUUAGUACCAAGGAUCAGUCAGGAACACAACUGCUAUUUGACAGCAUUCUUACACAAAGCGACACACCACCUUACCCUAACCUUCUACUGGAUAUCCAUGUUUGUAUGUUCACAUUCCCUCCUGAGUUUUUACUGUACUUCAAUGGAGUUGUACCUCCACUCUGGUGAAAUUACUUUUCCACUUAAGAGUAUUUCAAGGCUUUCUUCUGGGUUUGUAUUUUUUCUGUCUUCUUGAACGAAAUGUUUUGUGACUGUAGUCAGUUUAUGUAUCUCCCACUUCCUCCAGCUUUUAACAAUUUUCAACUCCCUGGCCAGUUCUAGUCCAGUUUGUAAGCCAGGUACAGUCUGGUGUUACCAUGGUUCAGGAGAAAGAAAAAAAGACAUCUGUAGGCAACUGGAUUUUGUUAGGUCUAAGCUAGUAACUUUUACUGCAGUAAUAGAGGGGAUUCUGCUGCUUUAGAGAAAGCACAUGCAGCAAUGCCACCAAUGUGAAAAAAGAAUAGUGAGGAUGGUUUUACAGUUAGUAAAACUCAGAAGUGCUCUGGGCAGAUCAUGUUUCUGAAGCAGAGGAAUGAGAAUUUCCUAGGGUGGGCAGCUCUCUCCAGAAGAGGCUAUGAACCCUUUCCCUGAGCAGUCCAAUGACUACAGGAUCAGGCAGAAGAUCACAGUAACUUUCCAUGGAAUCACCCAAUCCACUAUUCUUGUCUUCAGUGUUGUUCCUACCUGACAACCUAGAAGUUUGUAACAUCUUCAGUUGGACAGAGCAUUUAUGUUGGUUUUCAAUUGUUAAACAACCCUGUCAGAAUUUUUUUUAAGAGCUUGAUGUCUGCUGAACUAAAAGGAAUACUGAAACACAAAAUUAAUCAACCCUUAAAGAACUCAACAAAAAUAUCUGCUCCUUGAAUAAUUUUUUUUUAUUUUUUGAAGGCUCCUUAUGUAUAAGGAACAUACAUAAAAUGAACACAACACUGUUGACAAUGAACAAAACAGCAUUUGAUAAUUUCCAGCUUUAUAAAAUUUUUAAAAAAUGAUUUAGUUAUAACAAAAAAAAAAACAAUAGCUCAGCAAGUUAUCUUAUUGGACCAUUAUCACAUUUUAAA
Molecule: long non-coding RNA, 2615 nt
Organism: Parus major (Great Tit)
Lineage: Eukaryota; Metazoa; Chordata; Aves; Passeriformes; Paridae
Exons: 3
Source: RefSeq, a predicted model, not a curated record